UACGAAGGGGGCUAGCGUUGCUCGGAAUCACUGGGCGUAAAGCGCACGUAGGCGGAUUGUUAAGUCAGGGGUGAAAUCCUGGAGCUUAACUCCGAAACUGCAUUCGAUACUGCCGUGCUUGAGGACUGGAGAGGAGACUGGAAUUUACGGUGUAGCGGUGAAAUGCGUAGAUAUCGUAAGGAAGACCAGUGGCGAAGUCGGGUCUCUGGACAGUUCCUGACGCUGAGGCACGAAGGCCAGGGGAGCAAACGGG
This 253-nucleotide ribosomal RNA is filed under the name uncultured bacterium. RNAcentral's name for it is "partial 16S ribosomal RNA". It matches the Rfam family "Bacterial small subunit ribosomal RNA", at positions 524 to 776 of the family's 1533-position model. The record is from RNAcentral.